GGGACACGUGGUAUCCUGUCUGAAUAUGGGGGGACCAUCCUCCAAGGCUAAAUACUCCUGACUGACCGAUAGUGAACCAGUACCGUGAGGGAAAGGCGAAAAGAACCCCGGCGAGGGGAGUGAAAAAGAACCUGAAACCGUGUACGUACAAGCAGUGGGAGCACCUUCGGGUGUGACUGCGUACCUUUUGUAUAAUGGGUCAGCGACUUAUAUUCUGUAGCAAGGUUAACCGUAUAGGGGAGCCGCAGGGAAACCGAGUCUUAACUGGGCGUUAAGUUGCAGGGUAUAGACCCGAAACCCGGUGAUCUAGCCAUGGGCAGGUUGAAGGUUGGGUAACACUAACUGGAGGACCGAACCGACUAAUGUUGAAAAAUUAGCGGAUGACUUGUGGCUGGGGGUGAAAGGCCAAUCAAACCGGGAGAUAGCUGGUUCUCCCCGAAAGCUAUUUAGGUAGCGCCUCGUGAACUCAUCUUCGGGGGUAGAGCACUGUUUCGGCUAGGGGGUCAUCCCGACUUACCAACCCGAUGCAAACUACGAAUACCGAAGAAUGUUAUCACGGGAGACACACGGCGGGUGCUAACGUCCGUCGUGGAGAGGGAAACAACCCAGACCGCCAGCUAAGGUCCCAAAGUCAUGGUUAAGUGGGAAACGAUGUGGGAAGGCACAGACAGCCAGGAUGUUGGCUUAGAAGCAGCCAUCAUUUAAAGAAAGCGUAAUAGCUCACUGGUCGAGUCGGCCUGCGCGGAAGAUGUAACGGGGCUAAACCAUGCACCGAAGCUGCGGCAGCGACACUAUGUGUUGUUGGGUAGGGGAGCGUUCUGUAAGCCUGCGAAGGUGUGCUGUGAGGCAUGCUGGAGGUAUCAGAAGUGCGAAUGCUGACAUAAGUAACGAUAAAGCGGGUGAAAAGCCCGCUCGCCGGAAGACCAAGGGUUCCUGUCCAACGUUAAUCGGGGCAGGGUGAGUCGACCCCUAAGGCGAGGCCGAAAGGCGUAGUCGAUGGGAAACAGGUUAAUAUUCCUGUACUUGGUGUUACUGCGAAGGGGGGACGGAGAAGGCUAUGUUAGCCGGGCGACGGUUGUCCCG
RNAcentral lists this ribosomal RNA (1083 nucleotides) under Klebsiella pneumoniae subsp. pneumoniae. RNAcentral describes it as "partial 23S ribosomal RNA". It matches the Rfam family "Bacterial large subunit ribosomal RNA", at positions 419 to 1509 of the family's 2925-position model. Lineage: Bacteria; Pseudomonadati; Pseudomonadota; Gammaproteobacteria; Enterobacterales; Enterobacteriaceae. The record is from RNAcentral.